CCUACGGGUGGCAGCAGUGGGGAAUAUUGCGCAAUGGGCGAAAGCCUGACGCAGCGACGCCGCGUGAGGGAUGAAGGUCUUCGGAUCGUAAACCUCUGUCAGCAGGGAAGAACGGUCACUGUGCUAAUCAGCAGUGAAUUGACGGUACCUGCAAAGGAAGCACCGGCUAACUCCGUGCCAGCAGCCGCGGUAAUACGGGGGGUGCGAGCGUUAAUCGGAAGUACUGGGCGGAAAGCGCUCGUAGGCGGGAUGUCAAGUCAAGGGUGAAAUCCCCGCGCUCAACGUGGGAACUGCCUUUGAAACUGGCAAACUGGAGUUGGUGAGAGGAUAGUGGAAUUCCAGGUGUAGGAGGGAAAUCCGUAGAUAUCUGGAGGAACUUCAGUGGCGAAGGCGACUAUCUGGCACAUAACUGACGCUGAGGAGCGAAAGCGUGGGUAGCAAACAGGAUUAGAUACCCCGGUAGUC
This 465-nucleotide ribosomal RNA is filed under the name uncultured bacterium. RNAcentral describes it as "partial 16S ribosomal RNA". It matches the Rfam family "Bacterial small subunit ribosomal RNA", at positions 338 to 795 of the family's 1533-position model. The record is from RNAcentral.